UUGGAGGGCAAGUCUGGUGCCAGCAGCCGCGGUAAUUCCAGCCCCAAUAGCGUAUAUUAAAGUUGUUGCAGUUAAAAAGCUCGUAGUUGAAUUUCGGGAUCAAUGUUUCGGUCAUGCCGUUGGUAUGUACUGAUAUUAUUGAUUUCUCACCUUCUAAAGAACCGUAAUGCCAUUAAUUUGGUGUCACGGGGAAUUAGGACUGUUACCUUGAAAAAAUUAGAGUGUUUAAAGCAGGCUCACGCUUGAAUACAUUAGCAUGGAAUAAUGAAAUAGGACAUCCGAUUCUAUUUUGUUGGUUUCUAGGAUCGAUGUAAUGAUUAAUAGGGAUAGUUGGGGGCAUUAGUAUUCAAUUGUCAGAGGUGAAAUUCUUGGAUUUAUUGAAGACUAACUACUGCGAAAGCAUUUGCCAAGGAUGUUUUCAUUAAUCAAGAACGAAAGUUGGGGGAUCGAAGACGAUCAGAUACCGUCGUAGUCUUAACCAUAAACUAUGCCGACUAGGGAUCGGAUGAUGUUAAUUUUUUAAUGACUCAUUCGGCGCCUUACGGGAAAC
RNAcentral lists this ribosomal RNA (550 nucleotides) under uncultured Funneliformis. RNAcentral's name for it is "SSU rRNA". It matches the Rfam family "Eukaryotic small subunit ribosomal RNA", at positions 548 to 1098 of the family's 1831-position model. The record is from RNAcentral. Lineage: Eukaryota; Fungi; Glomeromycota; Glomeromycetes; Glomerales; Glomeraceae.